Long non-coding RNA from Lemur catta (Ring-tailed lemur), 237 nucleotides. RefSeq lists it as uncharacterized. The transcript is spliced from 3 exons. The record is from RefSeq and is a predicted model, not a curated record. NCBI's taxonomy places the organism in Eukaryota, Metazoa, Chordata, Mammalia, Primates, Lemuridae.
CAGGCUGCACCUACUGGUCCCUGAAGCACCCUUGGCCACCCCAUUCUUACUGCAACAUGUGGACACCUGAGAAUCCAGCCAAGCCAUUGGCUAUCUAGAGUGUUUCUCGUGUCAACUUAAGCUGCUUGGAGUGUUUGGCUGUACUCCCAUCCCCUGUGGCAGGGGCUCAGGAAUGCAGGGUUGAUAAAAUAGUUGUCACUUUGGAGGCGGCCAGCCUGAGGACAGAAAAAUUAGCUG